AGUCAGAACAUGGGUGAUAAGGUCCGUGUUCGAAAGGGAAACAGCCCAGACCACCAGCUAAGGUCCCAAAAUAUAUGUUAAGUGGAAAAGGAUGUGGCGUUGCCCAGACAACUAGGAUGUUGGCUUAGAAGCAGCCAUCAUUUAAAGAGUGCGUAAUAGCUCACUAGUCGAGUGACACUGCGCCGAAAAUGUACCGGGGCUAAACAUAUUACCGAAGCUGUGGAUUGUCCUUUGGACAAUGGUAGGAGAGCGUUCUAAGGGCGUCGAAGCAUGAUCGCAAGGACAUGUGGAGCGCUUAGAAGUGAGAAUGCCGGUGUGAGUAGCGAAAGACGGGUGAGAAUCCCGUCCACCGAUUGACUAAGGUUUCCAGAGGAAGGCUCGUCCGCUCUGGGUUAGUCGGGUCCUAAGCUGAGGCCGACAGGCGUAGGCGAUGGAUAACAGGUUGAUAUUCCUGUACCACCUAGUAUCGUUUUAAUCGAUGGGGGGACGCAGUAGGAUAGGCGAAGCGUGCUGUUGGAGUGCACGUCCAAGCAGUAAGGCUGAGUGUUAGGCAAAUCCGGCACUCAUAAGGCUGAGCUGUGAUGGGGAGAGGAAAUUGUUUCCUCGAGUCGUUGAUUUCACACUGCCGAGAAAAGCCUCUAGAUAGAUAACAGGUGCCCGUACCGCAAACCGACACAGGUAGUCAAGAUGAGAAUUCUAAGGUGAGCGAGCGAACUCUCGUUAAGGAACUCGGCAAAAUGACCCCGUAACUUCGGGAGAAGGGGUGCUCUUUAGGGUUCACGCCCAGAAGAGCCGCAGUGAAUAGGCCCAAGCGACUGUUUAUCAAAAACACAGGUCUCUGCUAAACCGUAAGGUGAUGUAUAGGGGCUGACGCCUGCCCGGUGCUGGAAGGUUAAGAGGAGUGGUUAGCUUCUGCGAAGCUACGAAUCGAAGCCCCAGUAAACGGCGGCCGUAACUAUAACGGUCCUAAGGUAGCGAAAUUCCUUGUCGGGUAAGUUCCGACCCGCACGAAAGGCGUAACGAUUUGGGCACUGUCUCAACGAGAGACUCGGUGAAAUCAUAGUACCUGUGAAGAUGCAGGUUACCCGCGACAGGACGGAAAGACCCCGUGGAGCUUUACUGUAGCCUGAUAUUGAAAUUCGGCACAGCUUGUACAGGAUAGGUAGGAGCCUUUGAAACGUGAGCGCUAGCUUACGUGGAGGCGUUGGUGGGAUACUACCCUAGCUGUGUUGGCUUUCUAACCCGCACCACUUAUCGUGGUGGGAGACAGUGUCAGGCGGGCAGUUUGACUGGGGCGGUCGCCUCCUAAAAGGUAACGGAGGCGCUCAAAGGUUCCCUCAGAAUGGUUGGAAAUCAUUCAUAGAGUGUAAAGGCAUAAGGGAGCUUGACUGCGAGACCUACAAGUCGAGCAGGGUCGAAAGACGGACUUAGUGAUCCGGUGGUUCCGCAUGGAAGGGCCAUCGCUCAACGGAUAAAAGCUACCCCGGGGAUAACAGGCUUAUCUCCCCCAAGAGUUCACAUCGACGGGGAGGUUUGGCACCUCGAUGUCGGCUCAUCGCAUCCUGGGGCUGUAGUCGGUCCCAAGGGUUGGGCUGUUCGCCCAUUAAAGCGGUACGCGAGCUGGGUUCAGAACGUCGUGAGACAGUUCGGUCCCUAUCCGUCGUGGGCGUAGGAAAUUUGAGAGGAGCUGUCCUUAGUACGAGAGGACCGGGAUGGACAUACCUCUGGUGUACCAGUUGUCGUGCCAACGGCAUAGCUGGGUAGCUAUGUAUGGACGGGAUAAGUGCUGAAAGCAUCUAAGCAUGAAGCCCCCCUCAAGAUGAGAUUUCCCAACUUCGGUUAUAAGAUCCCUCGAAGAUGACGAGGUUAAUAGGUUCGAGGUGGAAGCGUGGUGACACGUGGAGCUGACGAAUACUAAUCGAUCGAAGACUUAAUCAAUUUUUAAA
Molecule: ribosomal RNA, 1946 nt
Filed under: Staphylococcus sp. HMSC077D09
Lineage: Bacteria; Bacillati; Bacillota; Bacilli; Caryophanales; Staphylococcaceae
Description: bacterial LSU rRNA
Rfam family: Bacterial large subunit ribosomal RNA
Source: RNAcentral